Molecule: non-coding RNA, 7502 nt
Organism: Podarcis muralis (Common wall lizard)
Lineage: Eukaryota; Metazoa; Chordata; Lepidosauria; Squamata; Lacertidae
Source: RefSeq, a predicted model, not a curated record
AAAGGCUGCCUUCAGCCUCAGAGACGUCCUAUGUGGUGUGUGUGAGUGUGUGUGAGUGUGACACAUGAGCUGCGACUCAAAAGGAGUUGGGGGGCCGCUGGAAAAGGGAAAAAAAAGAGCCAUUUUCCCAAGACCGCCAUAGCAAGUUGCAUCCAGCCCCACCAGCCCCAUUGAUUCCGUAAAACAGGGAACAUUUCCCCCCCUCUUUCCUCUUAGAUCACCCCCACCUUUCCUCCCCACACCCAAAAUAACAGGCUUUUCCUACUUGCUGGGCCUACAAGAUUGAAUAAGAAACUUUUUUUUUUCCAAAGAAAAAAAAAGAGAGGUAGGAUUUUUUUUAAAAAGAAUCUGUUGAAAGUUUCACACCCACCCCGCUACCAUCGCCCUCCUUUCCCCACCCCGGUGUGUGAGAUAAUAUAUUUUCCCUCCCACCUCCCGUGACUCCCUCCCUUUUUGGACCUACCCCACAUUUUGUGCAAAACGCAUCAGCCAUGAACAAGCUGUAUAUUGGGAACCUCAACGAGAACGUGACUCCGGCGGAUCUGGAGAAAGUCUUCAACGACCACAAGAUCUCCUUCAGUGGCCAGUUCUUGGUGAAAUCUGGCUACGCCUUUGUCGACUGCCCAGAUGAGCAAUGGGCCAUGAAAGCCAUCGAAACUUUUUCUGGCAAAGUGGAGCUGCAUGGAAAACAACUUGAGAUUGAACACUCAGUACCUAAAAAGCAAAGGAGCCGCAAAAUUCAGAUAAGAAACAUCCCCCCUCAGUUACGAUGGGAGGUAAGUGAGGUUCUGGAUGGUUUGCUAGCUCAGUAUGGUACUGUGGAAAACUGUGAACAAGUGAAUACGGACAGUGAGACGGCAGUUGUCAACGUCACCUACUCCAACCGGGAACAGACCAGACAAGCCAUUAUGAAACUAAACGGCCACCAACUGGAAAACCACGCACUGAAGGUCUCCUACAUCCCCGAUGAACAAACUGUCCAGGGUGCAGAGAAUGGGCGCCGAGGGGGCUUUGGAUCGCGGGGCGCCCCGAGGCAAGGUUCACCCGUGGCUUCAGGAGCACCCGUGAAACAGCAGCCGGUAGACAUUCCCCUCCGCCUUCUCGUUCCCACCCAGUAUGUGGGAGCCAUCAUUGGCAAAGAAGGUGCCACCAUCCGCAACAUCACCAAGCAGACGCAGUCCAAAAUCGACGUGCACCGGAAGGAAAACGCCGGGGCAGCAGAGAAAGCGAUCAGUAUCCAUUCGACCCCAGAGGGCUGUUCUGCCGCUUGCAAGAUGAUUUUGGAAAUCAUGCAGAAGGAGGCAAAAGACACCAAGACGGCUGAUGAAGUGCCCCUGAAAAUCCUAGCCCAUAACAACUUUGUGGGACGGCUGAUCGGCAAAGAAGGCCGCAACUUGAAGAAGGUGGAGCAGGACACAGAGACAAAGAUCACCAUCUCUUCGCUGCAGGAUUUGACCCUGUACAACCCUGAAAGGACCAUCACUGUGAAAGGCUCCAUUGAGAACUGCUGCAAAGCAGAGCAAGAGAUCAUGAAGAAAGUGAGAGAAGCCUAUGAGAACGAUGUGGCGGCUAUGAGUCUACAGUCACACCUGAUACCUGGGCUGAACCUAGCUGCCGUUGGCCUCUUUCCUGCCUCUUCCAAUGCGGUGCCUCCUCCCCCAAGUAGUGUCUCUGGAGCAGCCCCAUACAGCUCUUUUUUGCCUCCUGAGCAAGAGACGGUGCACGUCUUCAUUCCUGCCCAGGCUGUGGGUGCGAUCAUCGGCAAGAAGGGACAGCACAUCAAACAGCUCUCCAGAUUCGCAAGUGCCUCCAUCAAGAUUGCUCCUCCAGAGACGCCAGAUUCCAAAGUGCGAAUGGUGAUAAUCACUGGACCACCGGAAGCCCAAUUCAAGGCUCAAGGGCGGAUUUAUGGCAAGCUUAAAGAGGAGAACUUUUUUGGCCCCAAAGAAGAAGUGAAGCUAGAGACGCACAUCCGAGUCCCCGCUUCGGCCGCAGGGAGAGUCAUUGGCAAAGGAGGCAAAACGGUCAACGAGCUGCAGAACCUGACAGCAGCAGAAGUAGUUGUCCCGCGGGACCAAACUCCCGAUGAGAACGAGCAAGUCAUUGUCAAAAUCAUCGGACACUUCUACGCCAGCCAGAUGGCACAACGCAAAAUACGCGAUAUCCUCGCUCAGGUGAAACAACAGCAUCAGAAGGGGCAGAACAGCCAGACGCAAACACGGAGGAAAUAGGAAGUUUCUUUACCCCGGGUGUGUGAAAGAGAAAACAAAAGAGAGAGAGAGAGAGAGAGAGAGAGAGAGAGAGAGAGAGAGAGAGAGAGAGAAUUAUCCACACUCUGAGGCUGUUUCCCUACAUAAGCCUUGAAGAAGAUGGAAAAAAGAAUCCUAGGAUUGUUUGGCUACCACCAUUUCCCCUUAAAUUGGGACAGCUACCUCAAGGAAGAGUAGUAAAGAUAACUUAUGCAGUGGAAUGGUGGCUUCUCUUAAUUUUUGCCAUAGCUGCAUCGCAAACUCUUACCCUUCGCUUUAGUUCUGGUGCUGUGGGAUCCAGUAAAACUGGCUUAGUGGCAGUGUCUGGCCAAAAUACAGCAGGGGCCCAAAAGCUCACGAGAAUGUCACCUGUGAAUUCUGCUCUCUUUCUCGAGAACUUUGUAAGUUCUGCAACAAGGAAACUCCUGUGGUGCAAGCCGAAACUCCAGUUUUCACGACCGAGAUGUGUUAUUCUGAAAAUCGGCAACGUUAGCCAUAGCUGCUCAGAGAUUACCUUCCACUUAAUCUCGUGGCAGCUGGCAUUGCUUGGCAUGUAUUUGAGGGGCAGGGUAUAUAGAAACAUAGGAAGCUGCCUUACACCAAGUAAGGCCAAUGGUUCAUCUAAGUCAGAAUUAUCUACAACACUGACAGGUAGCAGUUCUUCAGGGUUGCAGGCAGGAGUCUUACCUGGAGAUGCCAGAGAUUAUACCUGGGGCUUCCUGCAUGCAAGACACAGGCUACAUCCAUCCUGGGACAGGCGCUUUGAGUUUUAAGGACCUGUGCCUUUGUUCUGUCCUUUCCUUGAGUCUCAAACUUGGGUCUUGAGCUGGUUUUGGACUACAACUCCCAUCAUCCCUAGCUAGCAGAUCCGGUGGUCAGGGAUAAUGGGAAUUGUAGUUAAAAAAAAAAAAACUGGCGACCCAAGCUUGGAAAACACUGCUCUCUAGACCAUAACAGACCUCUCUUAUUUCACAGUUGAAUUGAUUCACAUGCCAGAAGCACAUGCAGGCAUGAUCUCUGUUGCUUUUCAUUGAAAGGCUCUCAAGUCUGCUCAGUCUGUUACAUAGUUCAGUUACAACAUCAGUGGGAAUAAGCCGGUCGCUAGCAGCUGACGUUUCCAAGCCAUGUGCUAUGAUAAUGUUAAUAAACAGAGACACCCCACCCCAGCCUCCUGUUUGAAUCAGAGAGUUUUUCUAAUAGCUUCAAGAAGCAACAAGCUGGAUCCUGCUGCACCAAACCUGGAGAAGAGAGGGAGGAAGCCAUUACCCCUUUAUCUGUAGCUCCCCCCCCCCCAGAAGAACUCGGAAACAUGAAGACAUUACUGUACAGAUCUUGACUUAAGUUCCUUGGGAAGACAGGUUGAAAAUGCAUAGGGGGCAGUGUUGGUGCAUCCUGUUUUUCAGCCCAGGAACAACAACUGGAAAUGCAAACAACGAAUUUUAGUAAACAGGCUGGAUAGCUUAGUCCAAGGCGUUGUGCCAACUGGAAUUUUCUGUAAUAAGGCCACGUUGGAUGAGAGGGAUCAUCUGCCAGCAGCUGCAUGGAAGGUCCGUUCAGAUGAAAGAGUUUGAUUUGCACACAGCCAGCUGAGAAUUGACCCAGGAGUUCUUCUGUAGUAGUUCUAUACUGAACAGAACUGGUGGGAGGCAAGACGUUUGGCUAUGUCUUGUGAAAGCAGGGAAGAGUCAGAUAAGGUGGACGUAGGCCAUAUUUUACUCAUCAGUAGCUUAAAUCACUGUGUGCAUGUGAGCCACAGAGGAAGCUGAACAUUCAAGUGACGUUUUAGCAAGCAUCCAUACUAAGAAUGAAGGCAAGUGGUGUCUCUUAUGCGGGAGAGUACAAACAAACAAACCCUGCAGCAUUCAGCUUAAACAUGUUGGAAGCUGAUUGUAAGAAUCUGCAAAGGGUGAGAAUCACUUGCCUUCUAAUAGGCAAAAUACGAUGGUACAUCCCCAUUUGUUCCGUUCACACCCUGGCUGAAAUUUUGGCUACACAACCCUCUUGAAAAUAAUAAUAAUACAGUGUUAGUCUUCUCACUCCUUUAAAUCUGUAUUUGAAUCCUGCGUCUUUGUCAUCGGCUACAGAAUCUUUUUCCACGUUUGACUUUUUGAAAGCUAAAUUAUCUCCCUUGGUUUGCGGUUGGGUGUACAGGCAACAGAGGGCAGCCGUGUCAGGCAAGGAUCGAUUUGAUACAAGUGGCAUUCGAAACAUGAAGCGCAUCUAGGUGGAAUGGCAGUGACGGUAAACUAAGUAAUAGUUAUGGGGAGUGUGUCAGAGAGAAGGUAAGAUUCCUGUCACUGGUCCCUGCCUACAAUAUAUAGCAUUCCCCCCGCCCCCCCAAAAAGGCAUGUGCUAUUUGAUGGAAUGACUGGUUUACACAAUUUUCAGGGAAACUGGCAUCUUUUGGGCAUUUUGUUGCCUACAUACAAGAUAACAACCAUUUGGUGCAGGUGUCUGAUUUAAACUGUACGCAACUAUCAGAUAUCCUGAAGCGGGGGAGGGACGGAGGGACCCACUUAUUCCUUCAAAAUACCCUUAUACUGAAUAUAAUAAGCUGGCCUAGCCUUAUCUGCCUCCCAAGGAUGGUGCAAUGGCCAAACAGAGCAGGUCAUGGAACAAUACCUUCCGCUUCUUUGAUUCUGUAAUCGCAAAGGGAAUACAGAAUUAAUUUCCUGGCUGUGCCCAUAGAAACGGAACCCUCUUGACCAGGAUUUAGCUGUCCGGAAAUCUAAACAGUUGCCCUGUUCUAGAGUGGCAGAAUCAAAGAGUGCCUAAUAUGUAGGGUGGAGUAUUUGAGGUUGUGUGUGCAUUUUUAGUUGGCGGUAUGAGUACCGCGCUCACCCACUGAACACCGGCAGCACCCAUUUUAGAUAUAAAAUCCUACUUGCACCUGUGGAUGCCGUUAGCCAGAUCAGGGUCUGCUGUCUGCUUCCAAAAGCUGGAUGGACCAGCUUGAGUCUAGCCCUAGCACCACUGCUUUAAAACAGUGGUGCCUGAGUAGUAAAAGAGUUCUGUAGGACUCAAAAGCUCACUUCUAGCCUUUCAAAUGCCUGCCCUGGUCCAGCAUUUCUCCAGCAAUAGGAAUCCUAAGUCACGGCUUCCUUAAAUCUGACACUCUCUCUUUUAAUCAGGGUGAUUCCGUGCACUGCAUAUACAUGACGGAAGAGGGAAAAGACCCCCCCCCCCAAAGACCAGCCUGUGCCUUGGCUUAGUUCAGGUUGGGUGCCACCCCCCCCACCUCCCCAAGCCUCUCAGCCAGCGUUAUCAAGCAGCACCCCAAAGUGCCUGUUUGAGCUGCAUGUCAUGCCAGCCUAAAGGGCAUGACGACCAUAUAUACAUAUAAUAUGAAUGAAUAUAACCAAUUCAUGUUUGUUUAUCUACCUCUUAGCACCAAUAGAUUAAAAAAAAUAAAAAUAAAAGUAAAUAGGGUAGUGGAUAAUACAACAUGCUGUGUAGUGUAGGGAGAAAAAUACUUCUGUUUUUUUUCCAAAGAAAUAAUUGUUCUGCUUAAUAAAUAAAUGAAUGAACUAGAAAUGACGGGCGCUCUCUGCAUUUUAAAGCAGACUUGGGGGGAUUUGUAGAGGGCUGUGGAAUGAUGGGCUAGAGGCAAGGUGUGUUUGCAGGUAAAAGAUGCUUGGUGCGGCUGACAUGUUUCCGCAACGGGCGCAUCGCAGAGCAAGCCGCAGUCUUGAUUCCUGCUACGGAAUCACUGGGACAAGUCGCUGGCCCAGAUCCAAAGAACAACGGGGGCAGGAUGUGGGGCGUGUUCAAGCUGUGUGUGUGUGUGUGCACGCCCAGGAACAUCAGGAGUGAGCAGGGUAGGUGCAUACAGGAAACCACCAAGUCUGUGGCUUCUACAGGUUAGAUUGCGUUUAUUGCUGGGACAGAGAAUCGCGGCUGCUCGGGCAUCCGAAUGUAAAAUGGCGGCAAAAUAAUCCCUUGCCGCUUUGCUGUGAAGGAGGGUAAAGGCAACAGAGACUGGGAAGCAGUUUCUCUAUUGAGGAACUAAUUCACAGCCACAAGCUAUUUUGACAAUAAUGCUCUCAGGGCAGCUGCUGGUGUUCCACCAAGGCUGCAUUGCCCAACUCCCCUCUACAAGUCAAUUAACCCUGGUUUUUAAAGUGUGUGUUAGUUUGUAAGAGCCCUGCAACCUCAACUGUUUCAUUCCCCCUUUUAUUACUUUGUUUUAAAUGCACCACGUGAUUACUCGUUUCUCCUCUUUCCUAACAAAACCCCAUCGUAAGUCCCCACUCCCAUUUUCUUUCCAUGGUCUUGGCGUAAGCGCUGACAAGAGUUGAGACAGCUAUCCAGCAGUGAUUGAUUGAAUUGUGCCUUAGAUCCACAAGUGCAUAGUCUUUUGCAAAUCUUUUCCUCGUUUGAGGGUACUGGAAACACACACACACACACACACACACACACACACACCCCAACAACAACCUCACUAGAUCUGUGUCAAUGGUAAGACUCGUAAGAAUUGUUUUGUUGGAUGAGAGUCCAUAAGUCCAGCUUUAGGCUAGCAGUCUUGAUUCCAACAGUAACAACUUAGAUGGCUCUGGGAAGAUCGGAGCGAGAAAUGACAGUCAUUUUCUAGCCACCUGUUUUGCCACCAGCAUCAGAAAUACUGCCUCUGAACAUGGAAGGGUUAGUUUAGUUAACCUGGUAAAUAUCUCUAAACUUUCUCUGAAGCCAUCUCAGGUGUGAAAAAAAGCAAGAAGUUUACUUCUUUCAGUUACUUUGCUGGAGACCUUGUAUUAAAGCUAUUUUGGUACUUGGGUGUGGGUCCCAAUUCCUUCAGAGCAAUCUGUUGUUAAAACGAUUUUAUGACAAGUCACAUGUAUAUGCAACGAGGUUAUGUGAAUUUUUUUUGGGGGGGGGGUUGUUUGCCGUACAAUAUUAUAAGGACAUGUAAAAAAACAACAACAGCGUCCACUGUUUUCUCUUUUUUAUUCUAAGCCAUUGAAAUCAUCACAAAUUCAGACUAAAUCUGAAAGGCUGUGCUCUUAACAAUUGUUUUCCUCCCUUUUGGUCAACUGUAUUAAAAAAAAAGUUGUUUUUUUAAUCUUUUCUCUCUUUCAAUUCCCCUUUCUGUUCUUAGACUCCUUGUCUAUUGCAUGAGGCAGGUUAGUUGGCUCACAUCCAAAGUUGCGACUACAGAUGGACUGCGAGCUCCAUUUUUACUUCCAGCUUGGUUAUUGCCACAAACUGCUUUACUCCACUGUUUCAUUUUUUUUAAUAAAACGGAAAAAAAUCAUA